GUGACCUCAAAUCAGGUAGGACUACCCGCUGAACUUAAGCAUAUCAAUAAGCGGAGGAAAAGAAACUAACAAGGAUUCCCCUAGUAACUGCGAGUGAAGCGGGAAAAGCUCAAAUUUAAAAUCUGUCAGUCUUUGGCUGUCCGAGUUGUAAUCUAGAGAAGUGUUAUCUGCGCUGGACCGUGUACAAGUCUCCUGGAAUGGAGCGUCAUAGAGGGUGAGAAUCCCGUCUCUGACACGGACUGCCAGGGCUUUGUGAUGCGCUCUCAAAGAGUCGAGUUGUUUGGGAAUGCAGCUCAAAAUGGGUGGUAAAUUCCAUCUAAAGCUAAAUAUUGGCGAGAGACCGAUAGCGAACAAGUACCGUGAGGGAAAGAUGAAAAGAACUUUGGAAAGAGAGUUAAACAGUACGUGAAAUUGCUGAAAGGGAAACGCUUGAAGUCAGUCGCGUUGUCCAGGGAUCAACCUUGCUUUUGCUUGGUGUACUUUCUGGUUAACGGGUCAGCAUCAAUUUUGAUUAUUGGAAAAAGGUUAGGGGAAUGUGGCAUCUUUAUGGAUGUGUUAUAGCCCUUGNUUGUAUACAAUGGUUGGGAUUGAGGAACUCAGCACGCCGCAAGGCCGGGUUUUAACCACGUACGUGCUAGGAUGCUGC
RNAcentral lists this ribosomal RNA (646 nucleotides) under Cortinarius caesiifolius. Its description in RNAcentral is "eukaryotic LSU rRNA". It matches the Rfam family "Eukaryotic large subunit ribosomal RNA", at positions 1 to 629 of the family's 3401-position model. Lineage: Eukaryota; Fungi; Basidiomycota; Agaricomycetes; Agaricales; Cortinariaceae. The record is from RNAcentral.